CAGCCGCCGCGGUAAAACCAGCACCUCAAGUGGUCUGGAUGAUUAUUGGGCCUAAAGCAUCCGUAGCCUGCUUUGCCAGUUUUCGGUUAAAUCCAUACGCUCAACGUAUGGGCCGCCGGGAAUACUACAAAGCUAGGGAGUGGGAGAGGUAGACGGUACUCGGUAGGAAGGGGUAAAAUCCUUUGAUCUAUUGAUGACCACCUGUGGCGAAGGCGGUCUACCAGAACACGUCCGACGGUGAGGGAUGAAAGCUGGGGGAGCAAACCGGAUUAGAUACCCGGGUAGUCCCAGCUGUAAACUAUGCAAACUCGGUGAUGCAUUGGCUUGAUGCCAAUGCAGCGCCGCAGGGAAGCCGUUAAGUUUGCCGCCUGGGAAGUACGUACGCAAGUAUGGAACUUAAAGGAAUUGGCGGGGGAGCAC
This 420-nucleotide ribosomal RNA is filed under the name uncultured Nitrososphaerota archaeon. RNAcentral's name for it is "bacterial SSU rRNA". It matches the Rfam family "Archaeal small subunit ribosomal RNA", at positions 459 to 879 of the family's 1478-position model. Lineage: Archaea; Thermoproteati; Nitrososphaerota. The record is from RNAcentral.